This 73-nucleotide transfer RNA is filed under the name Bacteroidales bacterium. Its description in RNAcentral is "tRNA-Gly". It matches the Rfam family "tRNA". Rfam says of the family: Transfer RNA (tRNA) molecules are approximately 80 nucleotides in length. Their secondary structure includes four short double-helical elements and three loops (D, anti-codon, and T loops). The record is from RNAcentral. Lineage: Bacteria; Pseudomonadati; Bacteroidota; Bacteroidia; Bacteroidales.
GCGAAUGUAGCUCAGUUGGUAGAGCAUCAGCUUCCCAAGCUGAGGGUCGCGGGUUCGAGCCCCGUUAUUCGCU